GAUGAACGCUGGCGGCGUGCCUAAUACAUGCAAGUCGAACGAAAAGACGAUGAGCUUGUUCUUUUGACGUUAGCGGCGGGCGGGUGAGUAACACGUAGGUCACCUACUUAUAUUUCGGGGAUAAUUUCGUAAAACCGGAUCUAAUACCAUAGAAUAUUUCGAACCGCUUGGUUCGUUAGUGAAACAUGGCUUUGCUGUCUCUUAUAGCUGCUCCGGCGCUGUAUUAGCUAGUUGGUAAGGUAACGGCUUACCAAGGCUACGAUGCGUAGCCGAGCUGAGAGGGUGAUCGGCCACACUGGAACUGAGACACGGUCCAGACUCCUAAGGGAGGCAGCAGUAGGGAAUAUUGGGCAAUGGGCGAAAGCCUGACGCAGCAAUGCCGAGUGAGUGAUGAAGGCCUUCGGAUUGUAAAGCCCGGUUGUUGGGGAAGAACAGACGUGGAAGAAAAUGUGGACGUAGUGACGGUACCUAAUCAAAAAGCAACGGCUAACUACGUG
This 497-nucleotide ribosomal RNA is filed under the name uncultured bacterium. Its description in RNAcentral is "partial 16S ribosomal RNA". It matches the Rfam family "Bacterial small subunit ribosomal RNA", at positions 28 to 507 of the family's 1533-position model. The record is from RNAcentral.